This 941-nucleotide ribosomal RNA is filed under the name Acinetobacter sp. 'SMCC B0107'. Its description in RNAcentral is "bacterial SSU rRNA". It matches the Rfam family "Bacterial small subunit ribosomal RNA", at positions 433 to 1366 of the family's 1533-position model. Lineage: Bacteria; Pseudomonadati; Pseudomonadota; Gammaproteobacteria; Moraxellales; Moraxellaceae. The record is from RNAcentral.
CUUUAANCGAGGAGGAGGCUACUGAGACUAAUACUCUUGGAUAGUGGACGUUACUCGCAGAAUAAGCACCGGCUAACUCUGUGCCAGCACCCGCGGUAAUACAGAGGGUGCGAGCGUUAAUCGGAUUUACUGGGCGUAAAGCGUGCGUAGGCGGCUUUUUAAGUCGGAUGUGAAAUCCCCGAGCUUAACUUGGGAAUUGCAUUCGAUACUGGGAAGCUAGAGUAUGGGAGAGGAUGGUAGAAUUCCAGGUGUAGCGGUGAAAUGCGUAGAGAUCUGGAGGAAUACCGAUGGCGAAGGCAGCCAUCUGGCCUAAUACUGACGCUGAGGUACGAAAGCAUGGGGAGCAAACAGGAUUAGAUACCCUGGUAGUCCAUGCCGUAAACGAUGUCUACUAGCCGUUGGGGCCUUUGAGGCUUUAGUGGCGCAGCUAACGCGAUAAGUAGACCGCCUGGGGAGUACGGUCGCAAGACUAAAACUCAAAUGAAUUGACGGGGGCCCGCACAAGCGGUGGAGCAUGUGGUUUAAUUCGAUGCAACGCGAAGAACCUUACCUGGCCUUGACAUACUAGAAACUUUCCAGAGAUGGAUUGGUGCCUUCGGGAAUCUAGAUACAGGUGCUGCAUGNCUGUCGUCAGCUCGUGUCGUGAGAUGUUGGGUUAAGUCCCGCAACGAGCGCAACCCUUUUCCUUACUUGCCAGCAUUUCGGAUGGGAACUUUAAGGAUACUNCCAGUGACAAACUGGAGGAAGGCGGGGACGACGUCAAGUCAUCAUGGCCCUUACGGCCAGGGCUACACACGUGCUACAAUGGUNGGUACAAAGGGUUGCUACACAGCGAUGUGAUGCUAAUCUCACAAAGCCGAUCGUAGUCCGGAUUGGAGUCUGCAACUCGACUCCAUGAAGUCGGAAUCGCUAGUAAUCGCGGAUCAGAAUGCCGCGGUGAA